RNAcentral lists this unclassified non-coding RNA (329 nucleotides) under soil metagenome. RNAcentral describes it as "partial contains 5.8S ribosomal RNA, internal transcribed spacer 2, and large subunit ribosomal RNA". The stretch from base 1 to 120 matches the Rfam family "5.8S ribosomal RNA", at positions 35 to 154 of the family's 154-position model. The record is from RNAcentral.
GAUGAAGAACGCAGCGAAAUGCGAUAAGUAAUGUGAAUUGCAGAAUUCAGUGAAUCAUCGAAUCUUUGAACGCACAUUGCGCCCCCUGGUAUUCCGGGGGGCAUGCCUGUCCGAGCGUCAUUACAACCCUCAAGCUCAGCUUGGUGUUGGGCCCCGCCGCCCCGGCGGGCCCUAAAGUCAGUGGCGGUGCCGUCCGGCUCCGAGCGUAGUAAUUCUUCUCGCUCUGGAGGUCCGGUCGUGUGCUGGCCAGCAACCCCCAAUUUUUUUCAGGUUGACCUCGGAUCAGGUAGGGAUACCCGCUGAACUUAAGCAUAUCAAUAAGCGGAGGA